This 405-nucleotide ribosomal RNA is filed under the name uncultured bacterium. RNAcentral's name for it is "partial 16S ribosomal RNA". It matches the Rfam family "Bacterial small subunit ribosomal RNA", at positions 28 to 526 of the family's 1533-position model. The record is from RNAcentral.
GAUGAACGCUGGCGGCGUGCCUAAUACAUGCAAGUCGAGCGAAGCGGGGACGGGUGAGUAACACGUGGAUAACCUCCUAUAAGACUGGGAUAACUUCGGGAACCCGGAGCUCAACCGGAUACUAAUAGAUGGAUCCGCGUUGCAUGAGCUAGUGGGUAAGGUAACGGCGUACCAAGGCAACGAUGCCUAGCUGACCUGAGAGGAUGAUCAGCCACACUGGAACUGAGACACGGUCCAGACUCCUACGGGAGGCAGCAGUAGGGAAUCUUCCGCAAUGGGCGAAAGCCUGACGGAGCCACGCCGCGUGAGUGAUGAAGGUCUUCGGAUCGUAAAACUCUGUUAUUAGGGAAGCGGUACCUAAUCAGAAAGCAACGGCUAACUACGUGCCAGCCGCCGCGGUAAUUC